Molecule: ribosomal RNA, 253 nt
Filed under: uncultured bacterium
Lineage: Bacteria
Description: partial 16S ribosomal RNA
Rfam family: Bacterial small subunit ribosomal RNA
Source: RNAcentral
UACGUAGGGGGCAAGCGUUGUCCGGAAUCAUUGGGCGUAAAGCGCGCGUAGGCGGCCCGGUAAGUCCGUUGUGAAAGUCAAAGGCUCAACCUUUGAACGCCGAUGGAUACUGCCGGGCUAGAGUCCGGAAGAGGCGAGUGGAAUUCCUGGUGUAGCGGUGGAAUGCGCAGAUAUCAGGAGGAACACCAAUAGCGAAGGCAGCUCGCUGGGACGUCACUGACGCUGAGACGCGAAAGCGUGGGGAGCAAACAGG